AAUGAACGUUGGCGGCGUGGAUUAGGCAUGCAAGUCGAGCGUGUACCCCGCAAGGGGGAAAGCGGCGUAAGGGAGAGUAAUACGUAGAUACGUGCCUUCAGGUCUGGGAUAGCCACGGGAAACUGUGGGUAAUACCGGAUAAUGUCUAAGGACCAAAGAUGAGAUUUCACCUGAAGAUCGGUCUGCGUCCUAUCAGCUUGUUGGUGAGGUAACGGCUCACCAAGGCAACGACGGGUACGGGGUGUGAGAGCAUGCCCCCGCUCACUGGGACUGAGACACUGCCCAGACACCUACGGGUGGCUG
RNAcentral lists this ribosomal RNA (303 nucleotides) under uncultured Planctomycetota bacterium. Its description in RNAcentral is "bacterial SSU rRNA". It matches the Rfam family "Bacterial small subunit ribosomal RNA", at positions 29 to 351 of the family's 1533-position model. The record is from RNAcentral. Lineage: Bacteria; Pseudomonadati; Planctomycetota.